UACGGAGGGUGCAAGCGUUGUCCGGAUUCAUUGGGUUUAAAGCGCGUGUAGGCGGCUCGGUAAGUCUGCUGUGAAAGUCCAGGGCUCAACCCUGGGAUGCCGGUGGAUACUGUCGAGCUCGAGUCCGGAAGAGGCGAGUGGAAUUCCUGGUGUAGCGGUGAAAUGCGCAGAUAUCAGGAGGAACACCAAUGGCGAAGGCAGCUCGCUGGGACGUGACUGACGCUGAGACGCGAAAGCGUGGGGAGCAAACAGG
This 253-nucleotide ribosomal RNA is filed under the name uncultured bacterium. RNAcentral's name for it is "partial 16S ribosomal RNA". It matches the Rfam family "Bacterial small subunit ribosomal RNA", at positions 524 to 776 of the family's 1533-position model. The record is from RNAcentral.